Molecule: ribosomal RNA, 303 nt
Filed under: uncultured bacterium
Lineage: Bacteria
Description: partial 16S ribosomal RNA
Rfam family: Bacterial small subunit ribosomal RNA
Source: RNAcentral
AGCAGUAGCCACGGGAAUACGUAGGUGGCAAGCGUUGUCCGGAAUUAUUGGGCGUAAAGGGCUCGCAGGCGGUUUCUUAAGUCUGAUGUGAAAGCCCCCGGCUCAACCGGGGAGGGUCAUCGGAAACUGGGAAACUUGAGUGCAGAAGAGGAGAGUGGAAUUCCACGUGUAGCGGUGAAAUGCGUAGAGAUGUGGAGGAACACCAGUGGCGAAGGCGACUCUCUGGUCUGUAACUGACGCUGAGGAGCGAAAGCGUGGGGAGCGAACAGGAUUAGAUACCCCCGUAGUCCCUGUCUCUUAUAC